This 31-nucleotide non-coding RNA is filed under the name Homo sapiens (human). The record is from RNAcentral. Lineage: Eukaryota; Metazoa; Chordata; Mammalia; Primates; Hominidae.
UGAGCAUGUACCACAGCCAGAUCAGGGGCAA